UUCACCAUCAGAGUCUCUGUAUUUUCUCUUUUUUUCUUUAUGAACAUUAAAAGCAUUGCAACACAUUUUAUCAAGUUUUUUCCAUUUCAACAUAGCUGAGACAUGAGUGACCUGAGAGUGUUUAAAUUACAUGAAAUACAUCUUUAACUGGCAACACGUUCAUGGUACUUUACUUUACUUUACGAUGUUCUUUCAAACAUAUGAACAGUACAGGUAGUCAAACACUUUAUACACCCUUUUUACCCAUUUAGAAUAUUCUUUAGAAGUGUUUCUUUAAAGUUUCAGAAAACUCGUAACAGUUCAAUUUAGACAAAUAAUCAUUUUAUAGAUACAUUUUAUAUACUCACAUAAUGUGAACAUGACUUAAUGAACUGUUACAAUUGAUUUGAUGUACACAUUUUAACUGAUAAGCUCUUCGGGAUGUUAUCUGCAUUUUUUUUAAAUACAGGAAAGUAUAUGAAACUUAAUCAACUAUUUAACUUUCAGAACACAUAUUUGUAACUGAUACCGUUUUCUUUUUUGUCACAUUGAUCACAAAUGUGUUAUUUUUGUCUUUUGCUCAAAUACAUUACAUUGCAGUCAUUGACUACGAGAACACGUUGUCUCCAUCAUUAGCAUGGAAUGUGUGAUUAGCACAUGCUUAACUCGAUACAAACUUUUAAAUAUCCGAAAACAACAACAUAUUGAUCCUUAAAAGGAUAAAAUUUGCAUUUCUCAUAAACGUCUACACAUUAGGAAGGCAUUCUUUUGACAUUUUCAAGAGUGCUAUACCUGAUGAGGGGAGAUGAAUAGUUAAUGAAACACAGGACACGGAGCUGCUGCUUCACCAUCAGAGUCUCUGUAUUUUCUGAGCAGCGCGCCCCCUCCCCAAACAGGUGAACACUUCCCAGGGAAAACCAAUCAAGCAAUCAGUGAAUCAUUCAAAGCCGAGCAGGGAACAUUAAUCAUCACAGAUAAGACCCUAUAAAAUGCAUUCAGAACAACAUACAUUCACUAACAAAAGUCAACACUGUGUUUCCUUCAGACAGAUGGAGCCAAUUAUUCACUGAGUUUGGAUCCAGAGUCAACAGAACUGCUGCAGUUUGAAACAUAUUUAUCUACAUCUUCAAAUGAGAGAGGAGAGCUGCCAGUGAAGACAUCUGUAGAUCCAGACAGAGAGACAGACGAAACUCUACAAACACAAAGACAGGAUCAGCAUAUUAGAAUCACUUCUGAAGUAUCUGUGACACUGACUGGAGUAGUCUAAUGAUGCUGAAAAUUUUGCUGAAAGCUGAAAAGCUGAAAGAUUUGAUCACAGCAAUAAAUUACAUUCUAAAUAUGUUAAAAAAACUCAUCUGUUUAAGUAAAAUUUAAUUCAUGUAUAAAUGCCAAGUUUAGGUUCUAAUUAUUGUUUCUUAUAGCCUAUAUUGUUAAACAUAAAAAUGGCGUG
Onychostoma macrolepis is the source of this 1429-nucleotide long non-coding RNA. RefSeq lists it as uncharacterized. Lineage: Eukaryota; Metazoa; Chordata; Actinopteri; Cypriniformes; Cyprinidae. The record is from RefSeq and is a predicted model, not a curated record. The transcript has 3 exons.